Molecule: ribosomal RNA, 253 nt
Filed under: uncultured bacterium
Lineage: Bacteria
Description: partial 16S ribosomal RNA
Rfam family: Bacterial small subunit ribosomal RNA
Source: RNAcentral
UACAGAGGUCUCAAGCGUUGUUCGGAUUCAUUGGGCGUAAAGGGUGCGUAGGCGGCGCGGUAAGUCGGGUGUGAAAUCUCGGGGCUUAACUCCGAAACUGCAUUCGAUACUGCCGUGCUUGAGGACUGGAGAGGAGACUGGAAUUUACGGUGUAGCGGUGAAAUGCGUAGAUAUCUGGAGGAACACCGGUGGCGAAGGCGGCGUCCUGGACCAACACUGACACUGAUGAGCGAAAGCCAGGGGAGCGAACGGG